Long non-coding RNA from Chinchilla lanigera (long-tailed chinchilla), 481 nucleotides. RefSeq lists it as uncharacterized. NCBI's taxonomy places the organism in Eukaryota, Metazoa, Chordata, Mammalia, Rodentia, Chinchillidae. The transcript is spliced from 4 exons. The record is from RefSeq and is a predicted model, not a curated record.
UUCUGAUUGCUGAUCCCAGUUGAUUGGACAGAAGUAUCCGCAAGGAAGAGGACAAUUCACCCAGGAGACAAUAUUUGCAAAACCCUGAUGACCUUGUUUAAAGAUGAAAAGGGAUAUUGGAAUGUGUUCUGGAAGGUUGCUAGCGAUUUGUAUGAUGGCAGAAAAGCCCCACACUUUCUCAGCUUCUGGAAGACGUGUUAGCAGGAAAGGAACUAUCUGCACCAGCAUAUCCAUGGCAAGAGCUGUUCAUACCCUCGGACUCUUACUAAGUGAGGGCUGAUCUGCUGAGCAUUUGCCUUGGGAUUGAACGUUGGAUUGUGUUUCUCAUGACAUUUACCAGACCUCUGUUUGCAAGAAUUAGAACACUCAAGAAGUUCUUUAGGAGUAUGAUGUACCUCCUCGUGGAUCAUGCUUUAUCCUACACCUUGAGGAGCCUUUCAAGAUUUGAGCCUUGUUAAAGGUCUGGAGGCAAAACCACAUG